RNAcentral lists this ribosomal RNA (253 nucleotides) under uncultured bacterium. RNAcentral's name for it is "partial 16S ribosomal RNA". It matches the Rfam family "Bacterial small subunit ribosomal RNA", at positions 524 to 776 of the family's 1533-position model. The record is from RNAcentral.
AACGUAGGAGACGAACGUUAUCCGGAAUUACUGGGCGUAAAGGGCGUGCAGGCGGCUUGAUAAGUUCGGCGUGAAAUUUCCCGGCUUAACCGGGGGAUGUCGUCGGAGACUGUCGAGCUAGAGGGUGAUAGGGGCGUGUGGAAUUCCGGGUGUAGUGGUGAAAUGCGUAGAGAUCCGGAGGAACACCAGUGGCGAAGGCGACACGCUGGGUCAUACCUGACGCUAAAACGCGACAGCAUGGGGAGCGAACGGG